UUAAGGUUCAAACAUCGCCCAGUAGAAGAAGCCUUGUUUGUAAGCCUCUCACAUGUUAGGCUAUUAAGACUGUGAUAUCUUCGGUUAAGGUUCAAACAUCGCCCAGUAGAAGAAGCCUUGUUCGUAAGCCUCUCACAUGUUAGGCUAUAAAGACUGUGAUAUCUUCGGUUAAGGUUCAAACAUCGCCCAAUAGAAGAAGCCUUGUUUGUAAGCCUCUCAGAUGUUAGGCUAAAAAGACUGUGAUAUCUUCGGUUAAGGUUGAAACAUUGCCCUAUUGAGAAAGCCUUGUUCUAAGCCUCUUGUACAUUAGGCGAAAGAGAUAGACUGUAAACUGCCAGGCUAGCAUUCGAUCACUGCCUUAUAGAGAAAGUGUGGCCUCUGUCUGGGUUUAAGUUGAACUACUGACCAACAGAGAAAGACUGCAAACUCCUGCUAGGCUUAUGUCCAACAGCUGGCCUAUGGAGAAAGCCUAUAACCUCUUUGUGGGCUUAAGUUGAACUACUGACCCACAGAGAAAGACUGCAAACUCCUGCUAGGCUUACGUCCAACAGCUGGCCUAUGGAGAAAGCCUGUUAUCUCUUUCUGGGCUUAAGUUGAACUACUGACCCACAGAGAAAGACGUAAACUCCUGCAAGGCUUACAUCCAACAGCUGCCCUAUGGAGAAAGCCUGUUAUCUCUUUCUGGGCUUAAGUUGAACUACUGACCAACAGAGAAAGACUGCAAACUCCUGCAAGGCUUACAUCCAACAGCUGCCCUAGAGAAAGCCUGUUAUCUCUUUGUGGACUUAAAUUCAAGCCUCACCCAACAGAAAGUCUUGAACCCGGGCGGAUAUCGAACCAUCACAUGAUACAGUGCAUUACUUAACUCCCUAACACGUAUCAACCUUCAUGCGCUGGGUAAUUUGCAAGGCCUCUCACCCACCCAACCCACCACGAUGUCCUCAACUCAAAGGGCUGUGAUGUGUGUCUGUGUGGGAGAUUAGCUUAACGAGUGCAGUGACGUGAUGGGAAGACUCUGUUGCGACAUUGAUUUCCUGUUUGCAGACUCGGUUUCUUGUAUUUCCAGUGUGUCACUCUGUUUCUUAUUUUCGUAGCCUUUCAGAGUAACGUAAAAUCUGUGAGUAUAUGAUCAGGCACCUUCUUGCGCUCUCUCCCUCUCUCUCUCCUUGUCAUCAACACACAAGUAUAAUCGGAAACCUUGUACUUUCUCUCUCUCUCUCUCACUAUUUCACUCACUUUCUUAUUUCCAGGUCAUCCAAUCACGUAUUUUGUUCUUAAUACACGGAAUUGUUGACUGAAUGUUCCUUUGUUUAUAUUCCGUAGGGUUUCCGAUCACAUUCUCAUUCUUGGUACACAGUGAAUUCUUGCCAUUAACGCCCUCCUUGUUUUCCUCCUGACACGCCUCCCUUUCUUUACCUUUUGUAGGGUUUUCGAUCGCAAGUUCAUGUUCAUAAUGCAAUCGAAUCCUUUCUCCCUUCACCGUCAAUGUGUUUCCUUCCCUGUCUCAUCUGUAAGGCUUUCGAUAACGUGUUCAGAGUCUAAAUAUACAAUCGAAACCUUACUUCCUUCACUGUCAAUGUAUUUCCUUCACUGUCUCAUCUGUAAGGCUUUCGAUAACGUGUUCACAGUCUAAAUAUACAAUCGAAACCUUUCUUCCUUCACUGACAACAUACUUCCUUCUCUGUCUCAUCUGUAAGGCUUUCGAUAACGUGUUCAGAGUCUAAAUAUACAAUCGAAACCUUUCUUCCUUCACUGUCAUUGUACUUCCUUUGUUUCACUUGUAAGGGUUUCGAUCACACUGAUUUCUGAUUAUUAAAACCUUCCUUCUUUUCAUCAACACAUUUUCCUCUUUCACAUUCUCGGCACUUCAUAUCACAUACCUGUUCACAUUCUUAAAACACACUAUAUAUCCUCACUUUUCCAACCAUUCUUCUUGUCCUCCUUCCACAUCCCAUUUCUAUUUUUAUUUUGAUUGAUUUCGUCAGUCGAUCACACUCGAUGUUACGGCGCAGGAUUAAACUAGUCUUGAUCAUGCUUUGUUCUUGUACCGGUAUCCAGUGAGUGAUAUUAUGCGAGGGGAACAAAAACGGUCUCCUUGAAAUGACAUGAUGCUUGAAGAAUGACCUGUUUCGUGAUUUCCUUCAGUCGACAACCCUCCUCGUAUCACAGCAAGGGAAGAGUAUGCAUUGCCGAAACAAGACCUUCACUACGCAGUCUGAGAUUCACGGAUUAUUGGGUCGUUUUAGACUUUCAGAACGAUGGUACGUGUGUGUUUAUGAUCGGGAACCUUGUAUAUUCACUCUCUCUCUCUCACUCUCUCCCUUUCUCUAGCUAUAACACACACACACACACACACACACACACACGCUUAGAGAUAAGACCCACAGUUGUAGCGUUUUUGUAGCCAUUCUCUCUCUCUCUCUCUCUCUCUCUCUCUCUCUCUCUCUCUCUCUCUCUCUCUCUCUCUCUCUCUCUC
Long non-coding RNA from Eriocheir sinensis (Chinese mitten crab), 2476 nucleotides. RefSeq lists it as uncharacterized. The transcript has 3 exons. The record is from RefSeq and is a predicted model, not a curated record. Lineage: Eukaryota; Metazoa; Arthropoda; Malacostraca; Decapoda; Varunidae.